GGACGGUAAUGCCCUGGGCCACCGCAUUUGCUCUACACUCACUCGCUGACUCACUCAGAGCAAAUUCUGCCCUGCAAGCUCCAUUCAUGUUUCAGUUGAAGAACACUUGAAGGUCUGAACACAAAGAGGCAUAUCUGCACAUAGAACUGAUUUAGAUAACAAGAUCCUGAACUUCGAACAAAAGAUGUGAUGGAAUAAGACUUUGUGGAGGGGCCUUGGAGCAACUGAGUUUAUUUUGCAUUUGGAAGGAAUAUAAAUAAUUUGUAGCCAGCGGGCAGACUCCAGCAUAUUAAAAUGGCCAAAAUAUUUUUGCUACUUCUCCCAUUGAGAGGUAGAGUUUAAUUUUUAUCUCUAUGGAUCUGGCUGUUUCUGCUACUAAUUUACAAAAGAAACACUAUAGAUGUGACACUGUCAGUUUCCUGGACCAGGCUUUAAAGAUCUGGCAUCUUCCAUGUACUGUCUCUGGGACUGCUAGCUCAAAGUUCAAAAACUUCCACAAAAGAAGGCCAACUAUCCUGAGACCACUGUAUUGAAGAGGCCAUGCGUAAGAACUCAGACCAACAGUCCAAGCUGUGCUUUGCCUUCUAGCAUUCCCUGCCAAAGCACAUGGGGUGUGAGGGGAGCCAAACUGGCCUCUCUGUGACAGUCCAACAGCCAAAUCAAUUGCAACAAGUGACCUCAGUUAAUGACACAUGCAGCCAAAAAAUGGCCGCCUGAGACAUGCUCACAAUUUCCGAUUUUAAAAAGCAAAAAACCAUGAGAUAUAGUAACAUGUUCGUUGUUGUAACACACUACAUUUUGGAAUGAUUUGUUAAGCAAAAUUAGAUAACAAGAACAUAAGGAUGAGAAAGGUCUCCAUUUCUGUUUAUAUGAAGACAGGCAGCUGAGAAGCAUGCAAGAUAAUAUUUGACAAGUUCUUUCUCAGUCCAUAUUAUUCUGGUACUUAAAAAAAAUUAUAUACUGGAAAUCCUAAAUCACUUGGAGAUACUGACUGUAGUAUGUAGUGUAUUCAAAUUACAGUCUAUUUUUAAACAAUAGGAAAAAUGCAAGAACAAUACUAUCAAUUAAAGUUGAUGUCAAGAUAUAAUUGUAAAAAGAAAAGCUUGUAAUAUAGUACACUGGUUCACCCAGAAUUAUAUAUAUUAAUUAAUAGUUAGCCUUCUUGGAAUAAGUUAAAGCAAGUAAUGAUGGACAUCAAAACUCUAUUUUGUACUAUUUAUUAGAUAAACCAUAUGUCCACUUUUGAAAUGCAAUUUUCUUUUACUUUUCAGGGAUUGCUUAGCUUAUAAUACUUAUUUAAGAGUAGAACAAAUAAUUCUAUCUGAACUUUUGAAAAAGUAGAUAAAAACAUACUGUAUCCCAGCUGGGCGUGGUGGCUCACGCCUGUAAUCCCAGCACUUCCAGAGGCCGAGGCAGGUGGAUCACGAGGUCAGGAGAUCAAGACCAUCCUGGCUAACAUGGUGAAACCCUAUCUCUACUAAAAAAUACAAAAAAUUAGCCGGGCGUGGUGGUGGGCGCCUGUAGUACCAGCUACUUGGGAGGCUGAGGCAGGAGAAUGGCGUGAACCCGGGAGGCGGAGCUUGCAGUGAGCCAAGAUCAUGCCACUGCACUCCAGCCUGGGCAACAGAGUAAGACUCCGUCUCAAAAAAAAAAAAAAAAAGUGUAUCCCUUAGUAAGCUUAUUUUACAACCUUAGUAAUAUUCAAUGCCUAAAUAUCUAAAACUACCUUAAUAACUUUUUAAUGUAUAUUUGCAAUAUAUGAAUGUAAAGUGUAAUGAAUAAAAUACAGUAAUUACAAUAAAAAAUGCAUUUCCCAUUAUCAGAACUCUUUUCAAAGUGCUCUUCUAAAAGAAUAACAUGUAUUUAAUAGAUAUGGCAGAAAGCUAGAAGUAAUCAGUAAAACCGAGAAUAAAAAAUGUAGUGAGGGACACUGGAAUACAAGUUUAGAAAGUGUCACUUUGCAAAGUUACUUUCUUGAAUAAUCCUCUUUCCUACCACCCUGUCACAAAAGACAACCUAUGAAAUCAACAAAAAUGUGAUGAAAUAUAAUCGACUUGAUUUUAUGUAUGGUCUUAAUGAAAUUUUGAUAUAGUUUAGGCAGAUUUUUAUCUCAGGUUUUUUGUUUUGUUUUGUUUUGUUUUUCUGUUGUUGAGACAGGGUCUAGAUCUUUUGCCCACGCUGGAAUACACUGUAUCAUCAAAUACCUUCCACCUCAGCCUCCUGAGUAGCUAGGACUAUAGGUGUACACUGCCACACAGGCUAAUUUUAUUUAUUUUUAUUUUUGGUAGAGCUGAGCUCUUGAUAUGUUGUCCAGGCUGCUCUUGAACUCCUAGCUGCAAACAGUCCUCCCACCUCGGCCUCCUAAAGUGCUGGGAUUACAGGCAUGAACCACUACACCCUGGCCUAGAUAAUUUGUUUGAAAAAAAAAAAAAGAAAGAAACACAAAAAUUCUUCUAAGGAAGCAUAUUAAAAAUAGGUUUUUCUGUUUCUUCUUUGAAAUAAAAUAAAUCUAAAAUAAUAGGCUGAUGUGCCCUUACCACAAACAGAAGUAACUAUUUGUCGGUGUGAAAUAUUAUUUCCCUGCAAUGAGUACACCACUGAGUUCAGAUGUAUUUAUUAGUCUAUAACUGGAGAUAAAAAUAUAACCUGAUGUCACAAUAAUUUCUGCAGGCUUUUGAGGCACGUUCUUAUUCUCCUUCCAUUGUACCAUCCUAAAUUAACUCUGGUGAGAAGCUUCACUUCCACUCUUCAUUCUAUACUGAGGAGCCAUGGGUCUUGACAAUGAAAUAAAUAACAUGAAAUACAUCUGUUUUCCUUUCUGUUAGAUAAAAGAAACCCAAGAGAACACUGUAACCUGAAAAUAAUCAACUGAUGAGUAAAUGACAGUCUUCAGCAUUUCUAGUACACUCAGUCUGGCAAAACUGUGGCCUAUACCCUUAAGUUAUAUAUUUAUAACAGGCAGAUAAACACCAUCUUUAUUUACAGAACUCUUAGGGAACUAUAUGAAGCAAGCUAAAAAUAUUUAAAAGAAUAUGUAGGACUUUUUUAAAAUAUAUUUUUAUAUUUUUGAUUAGUCUAUCAUUAAUGCCAAUACAGUCAAACCUAAAGAGCAUGCUCCCUUAGCCCUCAUACCAAGAUUUGGGGAAGACAUUUUUGUCUUCAGUCUGAUGAAAAUUUCAGGUAGUUUCUUUUGUAUAGGAAAAAUGUUCACCAGAAUAUUUUAGGAUCAGCCAUUUGAAAGAGAUUUCCUCAUCAGUUUAGGUGGAAGAAGUCCCUGAAGUUUAUCAUUGUUAAGAAGUUAAGGGUGAAAUUGUUGGUGGGAAGGUAAAUUAGUACAGCCAUAAUGAAAAUUUUUUGAAAACAAAAAAUAAAAAAUAUAACUAUUGCAUGAUUCAGCAAUCCCAUUGCUGGGUAUAUAUCCAAAGGAGAUGAAAUCAGUAUGUUAGAGAUAUCUGCACUUCCAUGUUCAAAGAGCAUUAUUCACAAUAGCCAAGAUAUGAAAUCAACUUUAAUGUUCAUCAACAGUUAAAUGGAUAAAGAAGAUAUAGUAUAUUUGCACAAUGGAAUGCUAUUCAUUCAUAAAACAGAAGAAAAUCAUCUCAUUUGCAACAAUGUGGAUAAACUGGAAAGACAUUAUGUUAAGUCAAACAAAGUAGACACAGAAAGACAAAUACUGCAUGAUUUCACUUCAAUGCAAAGUGUAAAAAAUUUGAACUGCGGUGGCUCACGCCUGUAAUCCCAGCACUUUGGGAGGUCGAGGCGGGCAGAUCAUGAGGUCAGGAGUUCAAGACCAGCCUGGCCAAUAUGGUGAAACCCCAUCUCUACUAAAAAUACAAAAAAUAGCCGGGUGUGGUGGCACGCACCUGUAGUCGCAGCUACUUGGGUGGCAGAGGCAGAAGAAUCACUUGAACCCGGGAGGUGGAGGUUGCAGUGAGCCGAGAUCGCACCACCGCACUCCAACCUGGGCGACAAGAGUAAGACUCUGUCUCAAAAAAAACAAAAUUUGAACUGAUAGAAGUAGAUAGUAGAAUGCUCAUUACCAGGGGCUUGUGGAGGGAGGAGACUGGGAAAAUGUUGGGACAAAUAUGUUCAAGAAAGCUAUCGUCCAACAUGAUGACUAUAGUUAAUAACAAUGAUUAUAAUCUUGAAAAUUGCUAAAAAGAAUACGUAGGAUGUUUUAAAAAUAUUUUUUUAUAUUUUUGACUAGUCUAUCAUUAAUGCCAAUACAGUCAAAGCUAAGGAGCUUCAUUCCCUUAGCCCUCACAGAUUGACAUAUUUUUACCACAAACAUAAGCAAGUGAGAUUAUAAAUAUGUUAAUUAGCUCAAUUUAGUCAUUUCAUAAUGUAUACAUAUUUCAAAACAACAGCCUGUACAUGGUAAAUACAUACAAUAUUUACUGGUCAAUUAAAAUAAUAAAUUUCAAAAAUAAGUAAAACAUGAAGAAUUUGAUCAUUAAUUACAAUAUUUGUAAAUAAACCUGGAUGAAUAGAUGUCUCUCUUUUCUCUCUUACUUUUUCUAAAUAUUUGUACAGAGUUCUUAGCUGUCUCCCAUUCCCCUUUAUCUCACCAGAGAAAGUGAUCCUCUUUACAGUGACCGAAGCUAUUAAUCGUAAUGUAACGCAGAGCAAAGACAUACAGAAGGUCAGAGGGGCAAGGGACUUAAUUUAAGGCAAUAUCUCUUUCAGCUUUGUCACUCAACCCAUGAAUAUACUGAGGUCCAUAAGAAUUAAGUUCAUUUUUCAGUCCAAAUAGCUCGAUUCCUGAGCAUCUCCACUACUUUUGUUUAAAAAAAGGUCAUGGGGGCAGCAGACAAACAAACCAGAAGCAAAACAGAAAAACCAUACAUAAAACAAAACAGAACCAAACAAAAAAAAUGCCUUUUUGUAGCGCUGGUGUUAGCUGUUUUCUGACUCUGAAUUCUUAAAGCAGUUAAUUUCACCUUCCAUUAUAUUAUUACACAUUAUUUCUAUAAUUCUGGUGUUAUUAAUAUUUUCCUCAAUAGUUUAUAUAACGUAUUCACUGAAUGCAUGCUAUGUGAAGGCAUUGCACUGAAAAGCUAGGAAAUUGUUUGUGGCUUAAAAAAAGGGAUGAACUCCAUUAUGAAACAUAUAAAUUUAAGCAUAUUAAUAAUAGUAAAAAUGAUAAGCAUGCAUACAGAAAUACGCAAAAUAUGCUAUGAAAAUGGUUGUUUUCAGUAAAA
Molecule: long non-coding RNA, 5201 nt
Filed under: Homo sapiens (human)
Lineage: Eukaryota; Metazoa; Chordata; Mammalia; Primates; Hominidae
Description: HSALNT0252526
Source: RNAcentral